CCCUUAGAUGUUCUGGGCUGCACGCGCGCUACACUGAAGCGUUCAACGAGUAUUCACCUUGCCCGGGAGGGUUGGGUAAUCUUUUGAAAACGCUUCGUGAUGGGGAUAGAUUAUUGCAAUUAUUAAUCUUCAACGAGGAAUUCCUAGUAAGCGCGAGUCAUCAGCUCGUGCUGAUUACGUCCCUGCCCUUUGUACACACCGCCCGUCGCUCCUCCCGAUUGAGUGAUCCGGUGAAUAAUUCGGACUGCAGCACUGCUUGGUCUCCAGGCUUUGCAGCGGAAAGUUUAGUGAACCUUAUCACUUAGAGGAAGGAGAANUCGUANCA
RNAcentral lists this ribosomal RNA (325 nucleotides) under uncultured eukaryote. RNAcentral's name for it is "partial 18S ribosomal RNA". It matches the Rfam family "Eukaryotic small subunit ribosomal RNA", at positions 1470 to 1796 of the family's 1831-position model. The record is from RNAcentral.